RNAcentral lists this ribosomal RNA (504 nucleotides) under Pseudomonas sp. Its description in RNAcentral is "bacterial SSU rRNA". It matches the Rfam family "Bacterial small subunit ribosomal RNA", at positions 83 to 583 of the family's 1533-position model. Lineage: Bacteria; Pseudomonadati; Pseudomonadota; Gammaproteobacteria; Pseudomonadales; Pseudomonadaceae. The record is from RNAcentral.
CUUCUCUUGAGAGCGGCGGACGGGUGAGUAAUGCCUAGGAAUCUGCCUGGUAGUGGGGGAUAACGCUCGGAAACGGACGCUAAUACCGCAUACGUCCUACGGGAGAAAGCAGGGGACCUUCGGGCCUUGCGCUAUCAGAUGAGCCUAGGUCGGAUUAGCUAGUUGGUGAGGUAAUGGCUCACCAAGGCGACGAUCCGUAACUGGUCUGAGAGGAUGAUCAGUCACACUGGAACUGAGACACGGUCCAGACUCCUACGGGAGGCAGCAGUGGGGAAUAUUGGACAAUGGGCGAAAGCCUGAUCCAGCCAUGCCGCGUGUGUGAAGAAGGUCUUCGGAUUGUAAAGCACUUUAAGUUGGGAGGAAGGGUUGUAACCUAAUACGUUGCAAUCUUGACGUUACCGACAGAAUAAGCACCGGCUAACUCUGUGCCAGCAGCCGCGGUAAUACAGAGGGUGCAAGCGUUAAUCGGAAUUACUGGGCGUAAAGCGCGCGUAGGUGGUUCGU